CCUACGGGAGGCAGCAGUGAGGAAUAUUGGUCAAUGGACGAGAGUCUGAACCAGCCAAGUAGCGUGAAGGAUGACUGCCCUAUGGGUUGUAAACUUCUUUUAUAUGGGAAUAAAAUGUUCCACGUGUGGGAUUUUGUAUGUACCAUAUGAAUAAGGAUCGGCUAACUCCGUGCCAGCAGCCGCGGUAAUACGGAGGAUCCGAGCGUUAUCCGGAUUUAUUGGGUUUAAAGGGAGCGUAGGUGGAUUGUUAAGUCAGUUGUGAAAGUUUGCGGCUCAACCGUAAAAUUGCAGUUGAAACUGGCAGUCUUGAGUACAGUAGAGGUGGGCGGAAGUCGUGGUGUAGCGGUGAAAUGCCUAGAUAUCACGAAGAACUCCGAUUGCGAAGGCAGUUCACUGGACUGCAACUGACACUGAGGCUCGAAAGUGUGGGUAUCAAACAGGAUUAGAUACCCGAGUAGUC
This 460-nucleotide ribosomal RNA is filed under the name uncultured bacterium. Its description in RNAcentral is "partial 16S ribosomal RNA". It matches the Rfam family "Bacterial small subunit ribosomal RNA", at positions 338 to 795 of the family's 1533-position model. The record is from RNAcentral.